Salvelinus sp. IW2-2015 is the source of this 183-nucleotide long non-coding RNA. RefSeq lists it as uncharacterized. Lineage: Eukaryota; Metazoa; Chordata; Actinopteri; Salmoniformes; Salmonidae. The record is from RefSeq and is a predicted model, not a curated record.
GAUUGGUCCACCCAGGAGACGCGGCGCGAUGGUGGUCUUCCUGGAACGGAUGGAGAGAAGGGAGAUCCCGGUCGCUCAGGAAGAGCAGGCCCCCUCGGCCCGGUGGGAGUCUCUGGACCUAAGGGUGAGAGAGGGAGUGCUGGCACACCUGGCUUCCCAGGAAACAAAGGAACACCAGUAAGA